RNAcentral lists this ribosomal RNA (467 nucleotides) under uncultured bacterium. RNAcentral describes it as "partial 16S ribosomal RNA". It matches the Rfam family "Bacterial small subunit ribosomal RNA", at positions 28 to 507 of the family's 1533-position model. The record is from RNAcentral.
GAUGAACGCUGACAGAAUGCUUAACACAUGCAAGUCAACUUGAAUUUGGGUUUUUACCUUAGGUUUGGGUGGCGGACGGGUGAGUAACGCGUAAAGAACUUGCCUCACAGCUAGGGACAACAUUUGGAAACGAAUGCUAAUACCUAAUAUUAUGAUAAUAGGGCAUCCUAUAAUUAUGAAAGCUAUAAGCGCUGUGAGAGAGCUUUGCGUCCCAUUAGCUAGUUGGAGAGGUAACGGCUCACCAAGGCGAUGAUGGGUAGCCGGCCUGAGAGGGUGAUCGGCCACAAGGGGACUGAGACACGGCCCUUACGCCUACGGGAGGCAGCAGUGGGGAAUAUUGGACAAUGGACCAAGAGUCUGAUCCAGCAAUUCUGUGUGCACGAUGAAGUUUUUCGGAAUGUAAAGUGCUUUCAGUUGGGAAGAAGGAAAUGACGGUACCAACAGAAGAAGUGACGGCUAAAUACGUG